Sciurus carolinensis (gray squirrel) is the source of this 487-nucleotide non-coding RNA. The record is from the annotation of a RefSeq genome assembly. NCBI's taxonomy places the organism in Eukaryota, Metazoa, Chordata, Mammalia, Rodentia, Sciuridae.
CCCUGCAGCUCUGCACAGGAGCCCAGCCCUGGACUCCAGCUCAUCCCACUCAGUGGUCAGGACUCAACACAGGCUGCUCACCAUGGACUGUGUGCUCACCUGGGUUUUCCUUGUGGCUGUUUUCAAAGGUGUGCAGUGUGACGUGCAGCUGGUGGAGUCUGGGGGAGGCCUGGUGCAGCCUGGGGGGUCCCUGCAACUCUCCUGUGCAGCCUCUGGAUUCACCUUCAGUAGCUACACGAUGUACUGGGUCCGCCAGGCUCCAGGGAAGGGGCUGGAGUGGCUUGGGUAUAUUAGCAGUGGUGGUAGCACCUACUACCCAGACUCUGUGAAAGGCCGGUUCACCUUCUCCAGAGACAACUCCAAGAACAUGCUGUACCUGCAAAUGAGCAGCCUGAGAACCGAGGACACGGCCACCUAUUACUGUGCUAGAGACACAAACCAGCACCACAUGAUUGACACGAAGGUCUGCCACUAUUUGGAGCACUAG